Molecule: unclassified non-coding RNA, 339 nt
Filed under: soil metagenome
Description: partial contains 5.8S ribosomal RNA, internal transcribed spacer 2, and large subunit ribosomal RNA
Rfam family: 5.8S ribosomal RNA (bases 1-120)
Source: RNAcentral
GAUGAAGAACGUAGCGAAAUGCGAUAAGUAAUGCGAAUUGCAGAAUUCCGUGAGUCAUCGAAUCUUUGAACGCACAUUGCGCCCUUUGGCAUUCCGAAGGGCAUGCCUGUUCGAGCGUCAUUUAUCAACCCUCAAGCCCGGCUUGCGGUUGGGUCCCGCCGUGGGCGACCACGGCGGACCCGAAAGGUAAUAGCGGUGCCCGUGGGGCCCUGGACGCAGCGAGCUUCUCGGCACGCGUCCCGGCGGUCCCCGGCGCCGUCUCCACCAAUCCACCACGCAGAUUGACCUCGGAUCAGGUAGGGAUACCCGCUGAACUUAAGCAUAUCAAUAAGCGGAGGA